AAAGAAACUAACAAGGGAUUCCCUCAGUAACGGCGAGUGAACAGGGAAAAGCCCAGCACCGAAGCCUGUGGCCAUUUGGUUACUAGGCAAUGUGGUGUUCAGGUCAUUCCGCGGAGGUACUGCUCCAUUCCAAGUCCAGCAAUGAGUACGGUAAUGCUGACAUGGCCCAAAGAGGGUGAAAGGCCCGUUGGGGUGGAGAUGCAGAAAUGACAGUACCUUCCUGGGUCGACCUUGGAGUCGGGUUGUUUGUGAAUGCAGCCCAAAGUGGGUGGUAAACUCCAUCCAAGGCUAAAUACUAACACGAGUCCGAUAGCGAACAAGUACCGUGAGGGAAAGUUGAAAAGUACUUUGAAGAGAGAGUAAACAGUGCGUGAAACCGCUCAGAGGUAAACGGGUGGAGUUGAACUGUGAGCUCUGUGGAUUUAGCUGGUGAGUUUGGUUUGAGCUUGGUCAAAUUGGUUGAUACUCGGGGUCUGCGUAGCAGCAGGUCUCCACCUUUUGGUGGUGAUGCGCGAGGCACUUAACAGGUGUUGCGCGCCCCUUGUUUAUUCGGACCGGCUUGCCAGUGCACUUUCGCAGAGUGGUCACCACGACCGGCAUCGCUGUCUGGCUGUUGUGGUUAAACCGGCCUUGCAUUGUCUUCCGGGCUUUGUUUGGUCGGGAUGGCAGGUAGCUCGUUGGCUUGCUUGUGGCUUGCUGCAGGCAUUUGGUCUUCGGGUGUAAUCAGCUGACCGCAUCGGUUCUGUGCAGUAUGUCGGAGACGGCGGCUUGUGGUGUGUGCGUGCGUACCAGUUGGCUGGCGUGUCCGGGUUUGGUUGUUAUGUUGCCUGUGUGUGCAGGCCUGAUGAUAGCUCGGAUUCGUUCGGUCGGCGGUU
RNAcentral lists this ribosomal RNA (875 nucleotides) under Heterophyidae sp. 1 SB-2020. Its description in RNAcentral is "partial large subunit ribosomal RNA". It matches the Rfam family "Eukaryotic large subunit ribosomal RNA", at positions 58 to 631 of the family's 3401-position model. The record is from RNAcentral. Lineage: Eukaryota; Metazoa; Platyhelminthes; Trematoda; Opisthorchiida; Heterophyidae.